GAGCUGUAGACCAGAGCUGUUCCUAUUCGGCCAUCUUGGCUCCUUAUUCUCAUUACCUUCUUGAGUUGUGGCUCAGACACUACAACAGAGCUCUGUCACCUCUUUCUAAAAGCUGGGAAAUGGUUAUUGUCAACGCCAGCCCCAUUUUGGAGGCACCUGGUUGCAGGGGACCACAGCUAGGGACAACAUGGUGAGGAGCAGCAAAGAAGAAACG
RNAcentral lists this long non-coding RNA (214 nucleotides) under Homo sapiens (human). RNAcentral describes it as "non-protein coding LINC00649:12". The record is from RNAcentral. Lineage: Eukaryota; Metazoa; Chordata; Mammalia; Primates; Hominidae.